RNAcentral lists this long non-coding RNA (5036 nucleotides) under Homo sapiens (human). RNAcentral describes it as "HSALNT0291196". The record is from RNAcentral. Lineage: Eukaryota; Metazoa; Chordata; Mammalia; Primates; Hominidae.
AAGAUAACACAGCACUCUUGAGAUGACAGCUCAGGUAUGCAGUCUGCCGGCCCAAGCCCCAUGGAACUGUGGGAAGGAACGCAAGUGAUUCUCCUAUUGGACAGGGGCAAGUGCAUGGAAAAGGAUGAUGGUGAGGCUGAAAGCAGGAAAAGAUUUGACCCAUCUCCCAGGUUGGGCCCAGGCCAGAGGUCUCUACCAGCAAAGAGGAUAAAAGAGACUACACCUGGACAAACCCUCCCAGGCCCAGGCCUGAGCCUCACAUGUGGCCCCGGGGAAGGCAUCAGGGACUCCCUUUGCCCUCCCACUGACCUCCCUGCAAACCUCCCCCAAACCAAGGGGCAUCCUCAGCUGGCCAGACCCUGGGGGAAGGGAGAGAGCCGAGGAUCACCGGCACCUGUGGCUGGGUUACCCCUGCCAUGGACCACUGGGUGAUCAAGAAGUCAUUCCAAAAUGUGAAGCGUUCUGAAGAUAUGCACAUAGCGUAAGAACCUGGUGUAAUGUGCUGGUCAAGGCGGUCUCAGAGAGGAGAUGACGUUUGAGCUGACACCUGAGGGAUGAGAAGAAAGCAGCCAUUCCCAGGGCCCAGGGGAGGCAUCCCAGGAAGCCGGAUCAGCAUGAGCAAAAGCCCUGAGGCCUGGCACAAGUUGGUCUGCUUGAGAAGCAGGAGAGAGCCCUGAGCAUCCGGAGUGCAGCAAGCGAGGUGCACAGAGGAGCAGGAAGGGGCUGGGAGAAGGCUGGGGCCGGAUCAUGCAGGACAGGCUGGAGGAAGGGGCUUGAAUUGUCUUCUGACCACUGAGGGGAUAUAAACAUGAGGGCAAAAUCAUCUGAUUUCCAUGUGCAAAGGCCCACUCUGGCUGCUCUAGAGAGAACAGAUGAUUGCAGGGUAAAAGUGGAUUUAGAGAGGUCAGAUGGAGGCUGGGUACGUGCCGUGUAUGGUAGAUAGCAUGCUACCAAAUACACUCACAGGUAGCCCUAUUAUCUCCAUUUCACAGAUGAGCAAGUCAAGAUGCAGAAGGACUCUCUGGCUUGUCCAAGGUCACACGGCUGUUAGGAGCAGAGCAGCGUCCUGGUGCCCAAGCCCUGAGGUCCCCAGCACACUGCCUCUGCAAUGGCCACAACUGUCCAAAGACUAAGCUGACUCUCACACCUGGUAGUGUCUGUGGUCAUUCACUGUGGAUGGAAGUGGAGAAAUGCAGAAAACAGAAACACAGCUUCCCCUUUUCUGUCAUAUUUCUGUAUCGUUGGUGUUUGGAGCCAGUUGAGCACAAAGGGCCCCUGAGUGCUGUUUCCUUGUGAUAUUUGGGGGUUAACAGCUUCCCCUCAUCUCUUAAUUACCUGCCCUCCUUCACUUCAGCUGCACAUUCGUUAAAGAAUGCUCUCCCAGGAGAAGAGCUUGGUGUUAUCACCCACAAACAUCUUAGAAAACUAAUGCUAUCCUUGAGUGCCUGUUUACAGAAACAUUUUUACAUCUCACUUGACAUUUCCAGCAAAUCUUGAUCCUUCCAGCCAGGAAUAUUAAUAUAUAGGUCUUGAAAAGUGCAAGAGGCUCUUCCAUGGCUCCAAGCACAUUUGACACUCUUCCUUUUCUGAUCCCCAAGCAGACAGUGAUGAAACCCCAAUAGCUGGGCGAAUACUCAUCCAACAGGAAGAAUCAGUUUUAAGAGCUGGGUUCUCAGGGUCAAAUACUGUGGUGUGGCCUUUUGGUUGUAAUGAGUUGAAUGGAGGUCUCAAAAAAGAUAUAUCCAUGUUCUAAUCCCCAGAACUUGUGAAUGUGACCUUAUUUGGAAAAAGAGUCCUUUUGGAUGUAAUUAAGUUAAGGAUUUUGAGAUAAGGAGAUCAUCCUGGGUUAUCUGGGUGGACCCUAAAUCUGUUGACAAUGUCCUUAUGAGAGACCCCAGAGGGCACAGACAGGAAAGGAAGAGGCAAUGUGGCCCCAGAGGCUGAGAUCAGAGCUCUGUGGCCACAAUUCGAGGAACACCUGGAGCCACCAGAAGCUGGAGGAGGCAAGGAACAGAUUCUCCCUGAUCCUCUGGAUACAGAGGGAGAAUAGCCUGGCCGACACCUUGAUUUUGGACUUCUGGCCCCCAGAACUGAGAAAAUUAACUUCUGUUGUGUUAAGCAGCCACGUUUGUAGCAGUUCAUCAUAGCAGCCCUGGGAAAGAAAUACAGUGGGCUUCCAGUUCAAGGAGGAUCCACGAGGCCUGAGCUCCAUCUGUCGAUUGGAAUCACCAAAAUCAAGGUUGUGUGCGGGUAACGCCAGCACAAGCAGCUCAUGCUGGCAAAAGCAGACCAAACCGGCUCACGCAACGUCAAGUCAUCUUGAAGUGGUUCACGCACCACAGUGAGUGGUAUUGAUUGUGGUUAAGAGCCAGGUUCAAGGAGGUUUAUCACUCAGUAGCCAGGUAAAGCAGGUUCCAGGCCUGGCUCCACCACUCAACAACCGGGGAAACAGGGGUAAGCUUCUUAAAUGCUCCGUGUCUCAGUUUCUCCAUGUGUAAAAUGAGGGCACUAAUAACAGUCCCUACCUGCAAGGUGGUUGUGAAGAUGAUAUGAAUUCAUAUAUGUAAGGCACUUGGAAUUGACAAUACUGACAUACCACAAAUACAAAAUAAGUGUCUGCCAUUAUUAAGCUAACCCAAAUCAAAACAGACACAGAUGAAUUCAGAAUACUCAAGUAGACUCAGAUAUGUUCAAAUGGAGCCCACCAGUUAAAACUAGCUGAGACCAGUGUAAACUGGCUCAAGCCUUUUGGGCCAAGCUGUACUAAAACCAGAUUAAAUCAGUCAAAACAGGAUUAGAAUAGUCAGUCUGGAAUCUCUACACGCACGCCUGCACAUUUGAGGGGUCUCUCUCCGCCCCCUCUGUACAUCAGAUUGAAUAGUAACAAACAGUCCCACAUCUCCCAAGAAUGAGCAUAAUGGACAAGCAGAGGGCCGCCAAUGUCCCCACCAGAACGAGCAUAAUGGACAGGCAGGGGGCCGCCGAUGUCCCCACCUAAGACAUGCAGACAUUUCCCUGUCGGAAACGCGCUCAGAUUCUUUACGGCAGGUCAAGGCUCAAAUAUCAGAAACCAAUUUCACUCACACUAACUAAACAAGAGACGGGAUCUGUGGUUCAGGAUCCUGAGGCACUCGUGAAACUCAUGGGUAGGAAGGUCAGCUGGAGCCAGUUAGUGUCUGGAAGGCUAUCAGAGCUCAAGGCCCCUCUCUCUGGCCCAUGGAGGGGAAUUAACUCCCUCAAAGGCAGGAGCUCAGUGAGCAGGAGGCUGGUAGGGAGGUGGGAGCUGCAGGUGACCGGUUAGAAGUCAGAGGCUGUUGUGGGGGGCAGCUUGCACCAGUGGACACAAGAGCCCCAACUUGUGGGCACUUGGAAGUCCCAGGCUGUUCCCUGGCUCCACCCCGUCCUCUGGGGUGCCUGCUUCACAGAGCACCAAUAAUGCGUUUGUGUCACUCUAUGUUUCCUGGCAGGAGCAGACCUGCAGAGGGGCCAGAAGACACCUGGCCGGGUGGGGAGCAGCCCCUCCGUAAUAACAAUCGGAACCUGGGAAGAUAAGUAGAGUCCCAGGGGAGGGACAGAGUUUCCCCUGUGUCACCACAUGGCUACUUUGACACAAAUGCACGUGGGCAGAGAGAGGCAUGCAGGUCAAGGGCCUGGCAGGGAGUCAGGGGCCCUCAGUGCCAGUCCUGGCUCUGCCUCUGCCUCUGACACGCCAUGUGACCUUGAGCAAGUCACCACCCUGUCUGGGCUUCGCUAACCCAUAUACGGAAUGAGAAGGUAUCGUCCCUGGUCACUGCAGGUUUUAAAUCAUGUAGUGAGAGAGAGCUCAUUUGGUCCAACUCUCUGCAACUGAAGGAAUGGAGACACCAAGGGGGAGUAAUCGGCCGCAGUGAUGAGUGGGUGGCAAAGGGAGCUAUCACUACCAUUGAUUAUCCAGCUACUUGUGCUUGAUAAACUCCCUCCUGGUGGAAUGGGCUUUCCCACAUCCAGCAGCACAAAUGCUGUGAGCAUCUACUACGGGCUGGGCACCUUCUCUGGGCUGGCACUUGACAUGGGUUAUCUCAUUUAACUCCCUAACAACCCUAUGUGGUAUUAUCAUCCCCAUUUCACAGGCGGCAAAACUGAAUCCCAGAGAGAAGACUCACUCAGACACAGCUAUCUGAACACUCUUUUCCAGUUCCCCUAGGGCAGCAGAGGAAGCAAGGUGGGGGGAAGCCAGUGGUCAAGGAUUCCAUGCGGAAUGUACCCUAGAAUUAACCCAUGGAGAGAGGGCUUCCAGGAGGGGCCUCCCUGGGCUCCCGGAGGACACCCACAGUCCUCACCAUGCAGCUCCCUCCAACAUCAAGCCAGGAAUGGCCGAACAGAUCUUUCUCAUGCUUCAAAUCUCUGAUGAAUUUCUCUUGCCAGAGAAAGCUUGCCAUUUUCCAAGGGCUCACCCAGUCAGAUCCGUCCAACAAGGGUGAUCUCCCUAACAUUAGGUUAACUGACUUGGAACCUCAGUUAAUCUGCAAAAUCCCUUUUGUCAUAUAAUGGAAUACAAUCAUUUGGUUCACAUGCUCAUCUUAUUCACAGGCCCUACACUCAUACAAGGGCAGGGGACCACAGAAGAGUGAAGGCCAGUGAGGGUCACCUCAGAAUUCUGCCCAACACCGGUGUUUUGUAAUUUGGGUAGAUGUUGCCAUGUUGUCCUCCGUGGGGAUUAUGCAGAGGGAACUCUCCUCCUCCAGCAACAGUACAUGUACCUGCUUUUCCAUGGUGCUGCUUAGAGAAUGUUAUCAAACCUUUGGAUUUCUGCCAGUCUGAUAGGAGAAAAAUGGAAUCUCAAUUGUAUUUUAAAAUUGUAAUUAUCGCCUUAUGAAUAAGGCUGAGCAUUUCCUCAAAAGCAUAAGAGCCAUUUAUAUACUUUUUUCUUUAUGGCUUCUGGUUUUGAGGCAUAGAAAGGUCUUUCUAGCUCUAAAGUUAAUCAGAAAUUCUCUGUUUUCUUUUUGCUUUUUUUAAAAUUUUACUUUAAGUCCUUGGAUACAUGUGCUGAACGUGCA